Molecule: ribosomal RNA, 336 nt
Filed under: Triticum aestivum (bread wheat)
Lineage: Eukaryota; Viridiplantae; Streptophyta; Magnoliopsida; Poales; Poaceae
Description: partial small subunit ribosomal RNA
Source: RNAcentral
GAAAAAGAAGGGGGAGCCCCUCGGCAUCAGUCAAGAAUGCAAGCGUUUCAGGAUGCUUUAUUAGACUGCUCCCUAGAAGAUAUUGGUUACGAAGGAGAUAAGUUUACUUGGUUUCGAGGAGGACUAAGAGAAAGGCUAGACAGGGCAGUGUCUAACCAGUCAUGGGCGCAGAUGCAUCCUUGGGCAGGAUUGAUAAACCUGGAGAUGGGAAAAUCUGACCAUCGGCCUAUUUGUCUAGACACAAAUCAUCUCCGUGAUGUAGCUGAUCGCCAGAGGAAGGAAAGAAGAUUUGAGGCACGUUGGUUAGCAGAAGAUACAGUGGAGGAAAUCGUCUGA